Molecule: long non-coding RNA, 862 nt
Filed under: Homo sapiens (human)
Lineage: Eukaryota; Metazoa; Chordata; Mammalia; Primates; Hominidae
Description: HSALNT0171876
Source: RNAcentral
GUGAGUUGCAUGCUCCAGUUCCUAUGGCUUUUUAGGUUUUAUCACCCAUACUCACCGGCUUUUAUAUCUAAUUCUCCUGUCUGCACCAAUUCAUCUCACACCUCUAAAUUUUAAGAUACCAUAGACUAGAAAGCUAAUAUAAUCAAGUUUGUUAGAAAUAUUUAUGGCAGAGGUUGGACAUGAUUACACACACUCAUAGUCCCAGUUACUCCAGAGGCAAGAGGAUCUCUUGGGCUCAGGGGCUCAAGACCAGCCUAAGCAACAAUGAGACUCCAUCUCUGGUUCUAAUCAACAUCAGAAAACGAUGCCAUAGAAAUAACAUUAUCACUUCAAUUUGCACUCAAUUCUUUUUUGUUUUUUGUAGAGAUAGGGUCUCACUGUGUUGCCCAGGUUGGUCUCAAACUCCUGGCCCCAAGCAAUCCUCCUGCCUUGGCCUCCCAAAGUGGUGGGGAUUACAGGCGUGAGCCAAGACGCCUGGCCUCAAAUCUUAAAACCCAGCCUAGUUUAGUGAGAAUUAAAAUCCUCCCCACUUUAAGGUUUUCUGUGACUCAGUACAAAUCAGAAAGUUAUGAAUCAUAUUAUAUUCACUUAAUAAUUUGAAGAUAUUUUAAAUUACAUCAUGCUACAUUUCUAGCAAGUCACAUGCAUAACAUGCAAUGUGAUAUUCAUAUUCAAUCAAAAUGUGCCCUCUGCUUUUAUAAUAGUACAUUAUACACACUAUACAUUUUAUAGUAUAGCAAUAAUAGAGAUAAAAUAUUAGAAAACAGGCAUCACAAGGAUUUAGACAAUUAAGGUAAGCUCAGAGUGACUUUUAAUAUGCCAAUCAAUGUUAAUAAAACACAAGUCAAAGACAAGUGCAAAC